This is a small nuclear RNA of Physeter macrocephalus (sperm whale), 105 nucleotides long. The record is from Ensembl. Lineage: Eukaryota; Metazoa; Chordata; Mammalia; Artiodactyla; Physeteridae.
GUUCACUUUGGCAGCAUGUAUACUAAAAUUGUAACUAUACCAAGAAGACUAGCAUGGCUGCUGCAAAAGGAUGACAUGCAAAUUCAUGAAGCAUUCCAUAUAGUU